UAUGAGGUACCUAUACAGGAUACAUAAAGCAGGGAGCCCAAAUGUCCUUGCUGAAAAGAACUUUCUAUAGUUAGUAGAUCAUGCUUUCAUUUUAGACCCACAUUAGUCUACACUAGACUUUUCGAGCUUUAUCAUUACAUUAGUUAAAAUGAUUUGGGGUUCUGUGAACAAAUGCAUUUGCUAAACACUAAGUAUGUACCUAAUACGUAUAGACAAAUAAAGGUUGGUUGAACUUCACGAAUGAUGCUUAAAAAAAAAGAAAAGAAUUGUGGUGGUGGCAUUCAUUCCCUCAGCAGCAGUUUCCCCUGCUUGGAUGAAGAAUUUGUAGGCACCAUCCUGAGUGGACCGGGCAGACACAUCCCCUAGGACAAACAAUUUCCUUCAAGUGUCCUGUUUGCUUACUGUGGGGGCCAAACACUGGGUUCCCUCUGAUUUCCUGAUGUCACUGAGAGAACUAAAGAUCAUGAAGUCAGACAGUAUACAACAUGACCUGAGCCUCAUGGUGCCCUCUUUUCUGUACCUGCAGGUGCCGCCCAGACUGAGCCAAAGAGAAUGGAGCCUGGAGACUGUAUAUGAGGUCAGCUCAGAGGAAGAAGACCCUCCAGGUAGGGAACUACACGCAGGUAGGAACCAAGGGGAGAGGGUUCCUGGGAACAGGCAGGUUACAGCAGCUACUUUGUAGAUCGAAAGUGGGAGGUAGGAAAUCAAAAAGAUGAAGUAUAUGUAUUAGAGGAUUUCUUUCUGUUUUUCAGCCAUGGAGAGAUUUUAUUUUUUAGAGAGAGUGAAGGAUUGGCGGGGAGGGGCCAUGGGAGAGGGAGAUGGCGACUCCAAGCUGAGCCAGGAACCUAAUGCAGGCCUGCUCCCAGGGAUCAGAAACCCAGCUGAAUGCAGACAUUGAAAUGACUGAGCCAUCCAGAUUCAGUCUCUGUUUUGUUCUUUUCCUGUAACGUUAGGGUGUUUUUUAUUUUUUUUUAAUUUAUUUAUUUAUUUUCAGAAAAACAGUAUUCAUUAUUUUUUCACCACACCCAGUGCUCCAUGCAAUCUGUGCCCUGUAUAAUACCCACCACCUGUUGCCCCAACCUCCCACCCCCCCGCCACUUCAAACCCCUCUGAUUGUUUUUCAGAGUCCAUAGUCUCUCAUGAUUCACCUCCCCUUCCAAUUUACCCCAAAUCCCUUCUUUUGAAAUAGAAGUAGUCUGCCUCUGGGCUUUAAAGGUGCUCUGUUUGUAAUCCUCUUUUCUUAUUUGAUAUUUAUGAUUCUCUCCAAAAGUGCAGUGAGGCUGCAUUCCUCACUGCCAAACAUAAGAGCCUUUGGAGAGCCUCCUAGGCUCGUUGGAAUUCCAGACCUGUGUGAAGACUGCUGAGCUGGUCGCACACCCUGGUGCUCGAGGGUCCCACUGAGCUGUUUCCUGGACGACCCGGCCCAAGACAGGGGCUCUAGAAGUGGGACCAUUGUCUCUGCUCCUGUCUGAUCCCGCUGCUCCAGCCACACGGAUGUGCCAUCCAUCCCUGGACCCCAUGGCAAAUCCUUCUGGGAAAUUCAGAUUUCAACAAAUGAAAGGAAUCACCAAGACUGGAAAUUCCAACUCCUGAUGGUCAUAGUGCUGGUCCACUGUGUUCUGGCCAGAGUCUUACAAGCAUCUAUACAGAUGUUCGGUCAUCACAUGCAUGGUCAAGAAGAUCUUCCAAUACAGUUGCCUGUGAAGAUGACUAGACCAUGUUCAGCAUUGAAGUGUGGGAUCUCUGGUCUUCUCUGACUGGGCCAACCUCUCCCAAGACCCAAAAUGGAGACAGACACGUGAAAGACAUAAACGGACAGUGCCAUGACCGUACAUAACAAUAAAUCUCUGGGGGAGCCUUGGUGGCUCAGUGGGUUAAGCCUCUGCCUUCAGCUCAGGUUAUGAUCUCAGUGUGCUGGGAUUGAGCCCCACAUCGGGAUCUCUGCUCAGUGGGGAGCCUGCUUCCCUAUCUCUCUGCCUGCCUC
Mustela lutreola (European mink) is the source of this 1984-nucleotide long non-coding RNA. RefSeq lists it as uncharacterized. The record is from RefSeq and is a predicted model, not a curated record. Lineage: Eukaryota; Metazoa; Chordata; Mammalia; Carnivora; Mustelidae. The transcript has 4 exons.